This 253-nucleotide ribosomal RNA is filed under the name uncultured bacterium. Its description in RNAcentral is "partial 16S ribosomal RNA". It matches the Rfam family "Bacterial small subunit ribosomal RNA", at positions 524 to 776 of the family's 1533-position model. The record is from RNAcentral.
AACGUAGGAGACAAACGUUAUCCGGAGUUACUGGGCGUAAAGGGUGUGUAGGCGGUCCUCUAAGUUUGGUGUGAAAUCUCCCGGCUCAACCGGGAGGGUGCGCCGAAAACUGGAGGGCUAGAGUGCGGGAAGGGAGAGUGGAAUUCCUGGUGUAGCGGUGAAAUGCGUAGAUAUCAGGAGGAACACCGGUGGCGAAGGCGGGUCUCUGGGCCGAUACUGACGCUGAGGAGCGAAAGCGUGGGGAGCGAACAGG